UCUCUGUCUGUCAAAUAAAUAAAUAAAAUCUUAAAAAAGGGGGGGGAGGCAAAAAUAAUUCUUAACAUUUGUAAGUUUGUAAUAACUGCUUACAACAUAAAUUAGAAGUUUUUAAUCAAUAUUAAAAUUCAAAAAGUUCUGAUUUUUUGAAAUAUUUGUG
This is a long non-coding RNA of Lutra lutra (Eurasian river otter), 160 nucleotides long. RefSeq lists it as uncharacterized. NCBI's taxonomy places the organism in Eukaryota, Metazoa, Chordata, Mammalia, Carnivora, Mustelidae. The transcript is spliced from 3 exons. The record is from RefSeq and is a predicted model, not a curated record.